RNAcentral lists this ribosomal RNA (253 nucleotides) under uncultured bacterium. RNAcentral describes it as "partial 16S ribosomal RNA". It matches the Rfam family "Bacterial small subunit ribosomal RNA", at positions 524 to 776 of the family's 1533-position model. The record is from RNAcentral.
UACGUAGGGUGCGAGCGUUGUCCGGAAUUAUUGGGCGUAAAGGGCUCGUAGGCGAUCUGUUGCGUCGGGAGUGAAAACUCAGGGCUUAACCCUGAGCCUGCUUCCGAUACGGGCAGACUAGAGGUAUGCAGGGGAGAACGGAAUUCCUGGUGUAGCGGUGAAAUGCGCAGAUAUCAGGAGGAACACCGGUGGCGAAGGCGGUUCUCUGGGCAUUACCUGACGCUGAGGAGCGAAAGUGUGGGGAGCGAACAGG